UCUGCCCCACCUCUUGGGCUGGAUGGGAAGGACCCCUCUAUCCAAAGCCCACUCAAUUCCAUACUCAACAUCCCAAGUCUGGGUCUUUGAACAGGAUUCCACAAGGGCCCGGUGUGGGUAACAAGCUGAGGGCUGUUCUCUGAUCUGCCCUCCUCCACACUCCCUACCCGGCCUGAUGGAAUGGCACUGAACUGCCUCAGGAGCUGGGACAGGGGAUGGGGUGUGGCUGCUAAUGUCACUGCCUCCCACUAAGUCCCAUCCCACCUGGGCCCACAGAGCUCCUGCUGUGGUUAGCACCUCCGCCAUCAUUACAACUCUACUGUGACUGCCCCUGUCACACAGCCACCCUACCCAUCACCAGCACCACCAACACCCCCACCCCACCGGGACCAUCACCACCAUUGAGACUCUCGCCAUCUCCAUGAAGAGCACCCCAGCUCACACCUGAAGAUGGGACAGGACUGGGGGAGCUGAGAAGGUGCAUUUGCAUCUGUUGCCUGAUUCUGGAGGCUUGGAAGCCUGAGGAAAAGCCUUCAGCAUGGGGGGCGAUGGCUUACAGCUGCUCGGAUUCUCCUGGCUGCUGUCCUGGUGGUCUCGGCUUCUGCCCUGCCCCUUCUUCCUGCUCACAGAGGCCUGAACGGUCUCCCUUGGCCUCUGGCACAUCUGCUUUGCGAGGCAGCAGAGAGAAGAUAAUCCUGUCAUUGAAACCCUUGGUGUCAUUCCUUCUCGGAGCCUCUCCCUCAGCUGAGAGGGCAGGGGGCACUCCUGGCAUAAGAACCUCCGGGGACCAGGAAGCUCCUCUAGCCUUGCCCCAGGCUUUGGGUCCCCACUCAGACCAGCCUGCCCAUUUGGGAACUGCUGGGGCCUCAGGCAGGGCCACACCAAGACCAGUUGUAUCAUCAGUGGCCAAGCCUGCAGCCCACAGGGUCCCCAAGUCCCAGCCAGCGUCCGAUGUGUCUGGACCUGCAGAGAAGAUCUUGGUCCCUGGCUCUCCAGAGAUUGCUGCCACAGCACUGUAGCAGGCUUCUCCUGGCCCAAGGCAUCUUGGGGUUGGGCCAAAGUCCAGUGAGCUUCCUGGCUUGUCCGUGACAGUCUGUGCUCCUACCCCUGCAAUCCUGAGGAUAUCUGUUACCUCUGGGCCAACCCGGCAGCCAGCUGCACCCACAUCUGGAUCCCUCAACUGCUGGCCUGGCCCAUGGGCAGGCCCACCUCCAGCCCCAAGGCCUGUAAGCCAUCUACAUCAGCAGCAAGCACCGUCAGGCCUGGGGCUUCCACACUUCUAUCUCCAAGGGCCCCAGAGAAGGCUGUGUCCUCAGCACCCCAGGGCCCACUUGUGUCUACAUUGAUGGAUAACACGUUAGCUGCCACAGAGCCUCCUCUCUCUGUAGCUCCAGGGUGGUCAGGCUGGACACGGACUCUCAAGCCCUCACAGUGGCCUCAGGGUCACCCAGAAAUAGUCUCAUGUCCAGUCUGGGCCCAGGGCCCUGUGGUCCUUUAAUGUUGCCAUUGCCUUCUACAGCACCCUCUUCACAGUCAUCAUCUCUGUCACUGCCACUAUUGUCCCCGCUCUCAUCCCCAUCACCCGCACUUCUGUGUUUGUCACCAAUACCUUCCUCACCACCACCAUUUCAGUCAACAUCACCAGUCCUGGCCCCAAUUUCCUCCUUCAUCCCCAGAGCCAAAACCUCUCCGGACCCUUCUGUGUCUGUGCUCCCCACCACAGGCACAGGCCUUCUCAUCAACGCUUCCAGCCUCCAACCUGCCCUGCCUCUCUAGAUGGUUCCAGGUCCGGCUACUCUUCAGUGGACAGUCCAACCUGGGCCAGUGGUCCUUGCCAGCCGAACCCCCUUGACCACCCUCUCCCUCAGAUGUGACUCCAGCCUUCCCUCUGGCUGUCCGAGAGUCCCUGGGGGUGCUGCCCCCGCCCAGUCUUCUUCCCUGCCUCAUCCUGGCCAGGCUGCCUCCUUGCAGGAUUCAGGAGACUCCUCCCCAGGACCCAAUUGUGUGAUCUGCUCCGUGACUUUCAGGAUCAGCAUUGAAGCCUUCUCCACAGUGCUCAGGAACCCUGCCUCCCUGGAGCACCAGCUGAGAGAAAACCUCUGACACCAGGCAUGGGCUGCUUCCAACACCUCCUUAGGAGUCUGCCCCCAGCCUGUCCCCAGCCCGGCCUCGCCCACUCACCUUCUGAGCAUGCCAGGCCUCUGGACCACCUCACAUCCCCUACUCCCUCUCUGCCUGGAGAAGGCUGAUUCCUCGGGGAGGCCUCCCCUGAUGACUCAGACCCCUGACCUUGCAGAGUCAGCAUUCCUUCCUCUGUCUUUCCCACACUGUCCUACCCGAGCCUGCCGCUCCCACCAGACCAUGAGCCCUCUGAGGGCUGCUGGGCCCAGAGCUGGGAACUUACAGAGGC
Molecule: long non-coding RNA, 2410 nt
Organism: Equus quagga
Lineage: Eukaryota; Metazoa; Chordata; Mammalia; Perissodactyla; Equidae
Exons: 3
Source: RefSeq, a predicted model, not a curated record